AGCUCCAAUAGCGUAUAUUAAAGUUGUUGCAGUUAAAACGCUCGUAGUCGGAUUUCGGGUCCUGUCCGCCGGUUUGCCGUUGGGUAUACACUGGUGGGCGCGUCCUUCCUUCCGGAGACCGCGCCUCCUCUUAGCUGAGCGGGCGUGGGAGACGGAUCGUUUACUUUGAAAAAUCAGAGUGUUUCACGCAGGCAGUCUGCUCUUGCAUGGAUUAGCAUGGGAUGAUGAAAUAGGACUCUGGUGCUAUUUUGUUGGUUUCGAGCACCGGAGUAAUGAUUAACAGGGACAGUCAGGGGCACUCGUAUUCCGCAGAGAGAGGUGAAAUUCUCAGACCCGCGGAAGACGAACCACUGCGAAAGCAUUUGCCAGGGAUGUUUUCA
This 380-nucleotide ribosomal RNA is filed under the name uncultured eukaryote. Its description in RNAcentral is "SSU rRNA". It matches the Rfam family "Eukaryotic small subunit ribosomal RNA", at positions 587 to 972 of the family's 1831-position model. The record is from RNAcentral.